Molecule: ribosomal RNA, 658 nt
Filed under: uncultured bacterium
Lineage: Bacteria
Description: bacterial SSU rRNA
Rfam family: Bacterial small subunit ribosomal RNA
Source: RNAcentral
GUGCCAGCAGCCGCGGUAAUACGUAGGGCGCAAGCGUUAUCCGGAAUUAUUGGGCGUAAAGAGCUCGUAGGCGGUUUGUCGCGUCUGCUGUGAAAACGCGGGGCUCAACUCCGCGCCUGCAGUGGGUACGGGCAGACUAGAGUGCGGUAGGGGAGAUUGGAAUUCCUGGUGUAGCGGUGGAAUGCGCAGAUAUCAGGAGGAACACCGAUGGCGAAGGCAGAUCUCUGGGCCGUGACUGACGCUGAGGAGCGAAAGGGUGGGGAGCAAACAGGCUUAGAUACCCUGGUAGUCCACCCCGUAAACGUUGGGAACUAGUUGUGGGGGCCUUUCCACGGUCUCCGUGACGCAGCUAACGCAUUAAGUUCCCCGCCUGGGGAGUACGGCCGCAAGGCUAAAACUCAAAGGAAUUGACGGGGACCCGCACAAGCGGCGGAGCAUGCGGAUUAAUUCGAUGCAACGCGAAGAACCUUACCAAGGCUUGACAUACACCGGAAACGUCCAGAGAUGGUCGCCCCUUUUUGGUCGGUGUACAGGUGGUGCAUGGUUGUCGUCAGCUCGUGUCGUGAGAUGUUGGGUUAAGUCCCGCAACGAGCGCAACCCUCGUUCUAUGUUGCCAGCACGUUAUGGUGGGAACUCAUGGGAUACUGCCGGGGUCAAC